AUGUCAUGGAGCUUUCCUCUUAUGUCUUCUUUUAGUAGUUUGAUAAUUUUGGAUUUUACAUAUUUUACAUUUAAGUUUUUACUUCCUUUGGGGUUGGUUUUUGUACAUGGUGAAAGAUGGUUCAAGUUUCAUCCUUUUGCAUGUGGAUAUCCAGGUUUUCCAACAAUGGAUACUGAAGAGACUUUCCAUUCCUCUCUGUGUGUUCUUGAUGUCUUUGUGGAACUUCUGUUGGCUGAAAAUGCAGAGAUUUAUUUCUGGGCUAUUAUUUUCCAUGGAGCUGUGUGUUUGUUUUUAAUGGCAGUACUAAGCCCUUUUAGUAACUAUAGCUUUGUGAUAUAAUAGUAAAUUAGUGUGAAUACUCUCAGCUUUUUUGUUUGUUGGUUUGUUUUGUUUCACAUAUUGCUUUGGGUAUUUUGAGUCUUUGGGGUUCCAUAUCAAUUUAAGGGUUGCUUUUUUGAAAAUUUCUGUGAAGGAUGCUGUUAUUUUUGACAGGGAUUGAAUUGAAUUUCUAGAUCAGUUUGGAUAGUAUGGACGUUUUAGCAAUAUUAAUUCUUCUGGUCUGUGAGGACAAGGUGUCUUAAAAUUUGUUUGUGUGUUCUUCAGUUUACUUCAUCAUUAUUGGUAUAGUUUGCAGUGUAGUUUUUUUUUACCUCUUUAAAUUUAUUGCUAGAGAUUUUUUCAGCUGUUACAAAUGAAGUUUUUAUUUUAUUUUUUUCAGAUAAUUUUCUACUAAUGUAUACAAACACCACUGAUUUUUAUAUUGAUUUUGUAUCCUGCAAAUUUACUGAAUUUGUUAGUUCUAACACCAUUUUUACGGAGGCCUUAGCAUCCUCUUAAAAAAGAAGUGUUUUCUUUAAGACUUUUUUAUAAAUCUUCAAACAGGGAUAACAUAACUUUUUCUUUUCCAAUUUGAAUGCUUUUUUAAUUUCUUUUCCUGCCUCAUUGCUCUGGCUGGGACCUCCGGCACUGUGUUAGUUGACAGUGGCAAAACAGGGCAUUAUUUUUGAGUUUACAAUAUGGACCUCUUGAAUGACCAGAGGCAGCAUGUUCUAAGACACAGUUGUCUUCUUAUGUAUGUUUUGCUCAGUUUGCCUCUCGUCAUCGUAUCCUACUCCCUACUCACUCUGGCAAAUCUCUGACCCAACAGGAGUAUGCGACCAGUGGUUGGAACCUGAAUGUGAUGCCAGUGCUAGCUCAGUCUGUUCUCUGUCACAUCAAUGCAGACAUCUCAGGCAUGAAGGUGCCCUGGCUGUAUGUGGGCAUGGUUUUCUCAGCAUUUUGUUGGCAUAUUGAGGAUCACUGGAGUUACUCUAUUAACUAUCUGCAUUGGGGUGAGCCGAAGACCUGGUAUGGUGUACCCUCCCUGGCAGCAGAGCAUUUGGAGGAGGUGAUGAAGAUGCUGACACCUGAGCUGUUUGAUAGCCAGCCUGAUCUCCUACACCAGCUUGUCACUCUCAUGAAUCCCAACACUUUGAUGUCCCAUGGUGUGCCAGUUGUCCGCACAAACCAGUGUGCAGGGGAAUUUGUCAUCACUUUUCCUCGUGCUUACCACAGUGGUUUUAACCAAGGCUACAAUUUUGCUGAAGCUGUCAACUUUUGUACUGCUGACUGGCUACCUGCUGGACGCCAGUGCAUUGAACACUACCGCCGGCUCCGGCGCUAUUGUGUCUUCUCCCACGAGGAGCUCAUCUGCAAGAUGGCUGCCUUCCCAGAGACGUUGGAUCUCAAUCUAGCAGUAGCUGUGCACAAGGAGAUGUUCAUUAUGGUUCAGGAGGAGCGACGUCUACGAAAGGCCCUUUUGGAGAAGCUGUCCUUACAAGGUUGAGUCCACAUCAGGGCUCAGUGUUGGCUGAGGUGGGGUGUCCACAACCCUACUCCUAGUCUUUACAGUAUAUGUGGGUUGAACACCCCCAGGGCGUCACGGAGGCUGAGCGAGAGGCUUUUGAGCUGCUCCCAGAUGAUGAACGCCAGUGCAUCAAGUGCAAGACCACGUGCUUCUUGUCAGCCCUGGCCUGCUACGACUGCCCAGAUGGCCUUGUAUGCCUUUCCCACAUCAAUGACCUCUGCAAGUGCUCUAGUAGCCGACAGUACCUACGGUAUCGGUACACCUUGGAUGAGCUCCCCACCAUGCUGCAUAAACUGAAGAUUCGGGCUGAGUCUUUUGACACCUGGGCCAACAAAGUGCGAGUGGCCUUGGAGGUGGAGGAUGGCCGUAAGCGCAGCUUUGAAGAGCUAAGGGCACUGGAGUCUGAGGCUCGUGAGAGGAGGUUUCCUAAUAGUGAGCUGCUUCAGCGACUGAAGAACUGCCUGAGUGAGGUGGAGGCUUGUAUUGCUCAAGUCCUGGGGCUGGUCAGUGGUCAGGUGGCCAGGAUGGACACUCCACAGCUGACCUUGACUGAACUCCGGGUCCUUCUUGAGCAGAUGGGCAGCCUGCCCUGUGCCAUGCAUCAGAUUGGGGAUGUCAAGGAUGUCCUGGAACAGGUGGAGGCCUAUCAAGCUGAGGCUCGUGAGGCUCUGGCCACACUGCCCUCUAGUCCAGGGCUAUUGCGGUCCCUGUUGGAGAGGGGGCAGCAGCUGGGUGUAGAGGUGCCUGAAGCCCAUCAGCUUCAGCAGCAGGUGGAGCAGGCGCAAUGGCUAGAUGAAGUGAAGCAGGCCCUGGCCCCUUCUGCUCACAGGGGCUCUCUGGUCAUCAUGCAGGGGCUUUUGGUUAUGGGUGCCAAGAUAGCCUCCAGCCCUUCUGUGGACAAGGCCCGGGCUGAGCUGCAAGAACUACUGACCAUUGCAGAGCGCUGGGAAGAAAAGGCUCAUUUCUGCCUGGAGGCCAGGCAGAAGCAUCCACCAGCCACACUGGAAGCCAUAAUUCGUGAGACAGAAAACAUCCCUGUUCACCUGCCUAACAUCCAGGCUCUCAAAGAAGCUCUGACUAAGGCACAAGCUUGGAUUGCUGAUGUGGAUGAGAUCCAAAAUGGUGACCACUACCCCUGUCUGGAUGACUUGGAGGGCCUGGUGGCUGUGGGCCGGGACCUGCCUGUGGGGCUGGAGGAGCUGAGACAGCUAGAACUGCAGGUAUUGACAGCACAUUCCUGGAGAGAGAAGGCCUCCAAGACCUUUCUCAAGAAGAAUUCUUGCUACACACUGCUUGAGGUGCUUUGCCCGUGUGCAGACGCUGGCUCAGACAGCACCAAGCGUAGCCGGUGGAUGGAGAAGGCGCUGGGGUUGUACCAGUGUGACACAGAGCUGCUGGGGCUGUCUGCACAGGACCUCAGAGACCCAGGCUCUCUGAUUGUGGCCUUCAAGGAAGGGGAACAGAAGGAGAAGGAGGGUAUCCUGCAGCUGCGUCGCACCAACUCAGCCAAGCCCAGUCCACUGGCACCAUCCCUCAUGGCCUCUUCUCCGACUUCUAUCUGUGUGUGUGGGCAGGUGCCAGCUGGGGUGGGAGCUCUGCAGUGUGACCUGUGUCAGGACUGGUUCCAUGGGCAGUGUGUGUCAGUGCCCCAUCUCCUCACCUCUCCAAAGCCCAGUCUCACUUCAUCUCCACUGCUAGCCUGGUGGGAAUGGGACACAAAAUUCCUGUGUCCACUGUGUAUGCGCUCACGACGGCCACGCCUAGAGACAAUCCUAGCCUUGCUGGUUGCCCUGCAGAGGCUGCCCGUGCGGCUGCCUGAGGGUGAGGCCCUUCAGUGUCUCACAGAGAGGGCCAUUGGCUGGCAAGACCGUGCCAGAAAGGCUCUGGCCUCUGAAGAUGUGACUGCUCUGUUGCGACACCUGGCUGAGCUUCGCCAACAGCUACAGGCCAAACCCAGACCGGUCUACACUUCAGCCACUGCCUGUGACCCUAUCAGAGAAGGCAGUGGCAACAAUAUUUCUAAGGUCCAAGGGCUGCUGGAGAAUGGAGACAGUGUGAUCAGUCCUGAGAACAUGGCUCCAGGAAAGGGCUCUGGUAAGACAGGUGUGGUUUGGGUAGGCUGUUGGCUAAACAUAACUGAGUGACCCAUGUAUUUGUCACCUCUGUUGUGGCCAUGGAGGAUAAGACCAAGAGUGGCCUCUAACCCAGUCUGUCCCUGCACCCUUCACUGCACCACCUUCCGCCCAGACCUGGAGCUACUGUCCUCACUGUUGCCGCAGUUGACUGGCCCUGUGUUGGAGCUGCCUGAGGCAAUCCGGGCUCCCCUGGAGGAGCUCAUGAUGGAAGGGGACCUGCUUGAGGUGACCCUGGAUGAGAACCACAGCAUCUGGCAGCUGCUGCAGGCUGGACAGCCUCCAGACCUGGACAGAAUUCGCACACUUCUGGAGCUGGAAAAAUUUGAACAUCAAGGGAGUCGGACAAGGAGCCGGGCUCUGGAGAGGCGACGGCGGCAGCAGAAGGUGGAUCAGGGUAGAAACGUUGAGAAUCUUGUUCAACAGGAGCUUCAGUCAAAAAGGGCUCGGAGCUCAGGGAUUAUGUCUCAGGUGGGCCGAGAAGAAGAACAUUAUCAGGAGAAAGCAGACCGUGAAAAUAUGUUCCUGACACCUUCCACAGACCACAGCCCUUCCUUGAAAGGAAACCAAAAUAGCUUACAACACAAGGAUUCAGGCUCUUCAGCUGCUUGUCCUUCUUUAAUGCCUUGGCUACAACUCUCCUACUCUGAUGAGCAACAGUUGUGACAGUGGCACCAAAGGUCAUUUGUGGUUGUUUUUGUUUGUUUGUUUCUUAAAUCCUACUAUCUCCUGGCCUGGACCUCAGAAGGAGCUUAUUGCCUAUCUAUAAUUUUUCACUGCCAAUUUUUGAUAUCCUCUCUCCUAGAGUUACUGUUAAAAGGUUGGUUCUUAAAAGUCCACACUCCAAUGCUCAGAAGUGUCUUGCCAGCAACAUUCCUGCUAGCAUACAGGAGUGAUUUCCUAAACCAGUUUCAUUCUAGUCUGAAUAGGGACAAACAAAUCUUGAGGAAGCCCAAGUGCGUACCUUUAUUUUUGCCCCCACCACCCUCUUUCUGUACUUCAAUUUUUGUUUGUUUUUUGUUUUUUUGUCCCUGUCAUAAAAUAUUUUGGUGCUUCAAAACUUGUACCUUCAUUGUACAUCCUUUUCUUUUCUCCCCUUGGGUCUUAUUAUAAAAGAAGACAAUGUACGUUGUAAUUACUUGUAAAGACCAAAAAGAAUAGAGAAAAACAAGAAUUUCAUGACUCUACCUGUGGUCUAUCUUUAAUUUCAUUUCUUUUGUUAAAAAUAAAACAAUGAGUAUGUUUGG
This 5225-nucleotide small RNA is filed under the name Pan troglodytes (chimpanzee). Its description in RNAcentral is "retained intron". The record is from RNAcentral. Lineage: Eukaryota; Metazoa; Chordata; Mammalia; Primates; Hominidae.